Molecule: ribosomal RNA, 561 nt
Filed under: Lacticaseibacillus paracasei
Lineage: Bacteria; Bacillati; Bacillota; Bacilli; Lactobacillales; Lactobacillaceae
Description: bacterial SSU rRNA
Rfam family: Bacterial small subunit ribosomal RNA
Source: RNAcentral
AACCUGCCCUUAAGUGGGGGAUAACAUUUGGAAACAGAUGCUAAUACCGCAUAGAUCCAAGAACCGCAUGGUUCUUGGCUGAAAGAUGGCGUAAGCUAUCGCUUUUGGAUGGACCCGCGGCGUAUUAGCUAGUUGGUGAGGUAAUGGCUCACCAAGGCGAUGAUACGUAGCCGAACUGAGAGGUUGAUCGGCCACAUUGGGACUGAGACACGGCCCAAACUCCUACGGGAGGCAGCAGUAGGGAAUCUUCCACAAUGGACGCAAGUCUGAUGGAGCAACGCCGCGUGAGUGAAGAAGGCUUUCGGGUCGUAAAACUCUGUUGUUGGAGAAGAAUGGUCGGCAGAGUAACUGUUGUCGGCGUGACGGUAUCCAACCAGAAAGCCACGGCUAACUACGUGCCAGCAGCCGCGGUAAUACGUAGGUGGCAAGCGUUAUCCGGAUUUAUUGGGCGUAAAGCGAGCGCAGGCGGUUUUUUAAGUCUGAUGUGAAAGCCCUCGGCUUAACCGAGGAAGCGCAUCGGAAACUGGGAAACUUGAGUGCAGAAGAGGACAGUGGAACUCC